This 321-nucleotide ribosomal RNA is filed under the name Triticum aestivum (bread wheat). RNAcentral describes it as "partial small subunit ribosomal RNA". The record is from RNAcentral. Lineage: Eukaryota; Viridiplantae; Streptophyta; Magnoliopsida; Poales; Poaceae.
AUGGGCAAAAAGGAAGGAGAGGGAAGGGCGCGGGACGGCGGAGCACUGGCCUGGUCGACGGCGGUCGGCAAGGGCAGCGUCGUGCUCAAGGACGAGCUCGGGCGUGGAGCAGAACCAUGGAAGGGGGCUUGCGGGAGUUGCAGGGAGCACCUCCUGGAUGUUGGAUCUCUAUCCAAGGGUCCAGAUGGAUGGAUCUGGGGGUUGGGUGGUGGCUGGACAAGGAGGAAGGUUGGUAGCUGUUGUUGGCUCGAUGUGGACUCUGAGGAGGAUUUGGACAGGGGGGUGGCGGCAGACGGCAGGGAAGAUGGGACAGCCCCCUAG